This 253-nucleotide ribosomal RNA is filed under the name uncultured bacterium. RNAcentral's name for it is "partial 16S ribosomal RNA". It matches the Rfam family "Bacterial small subunit ribosomal RNA", at positions 524 to 776 of the family's 1533-position model. The record is from RNAcentral.
UACGUAGGGUGCGAGCGUUAAUCGGAAUUACUGGGCGUAAAGCGUGCGCAGGCGGUUUUGUAAGCCAGAUGUGAAAUCCCCGGGCUUAACCUGGGAAUGGCAUUUGGGACUGCAAGGCUCGAGUGCGGCAGAGGAGACUGGAAUUCCUGGUGUAGCAGUGAAAUGCGCAGAUAUCAGGAGGAACACCGAUGGCGAAGGCAGGUCUCUGGGCCACUACUGACGCUGAGAAGCGAAAGCAUGGGGAGCGAACAGG